Molecule: unclassified non-coding RNA, 434 nt
Filed under: soil metagenome
Description: partial contains 5.8S ribosomal RNA, internal transcribed spacer 2, and large subunit ribosomal RNA
Rfam family: 5.8S ribosomal RNA (bases 1-120)
Source: RNAcentral
GAUGAAGAACGCAGUGAAAUGCGAUACGUAAUGUGAAUUGCAGAAUUCAGUGAAUCAUCGAAUCUUUGAACGCAUAUUGCGCUCUUUGGUAUUCCGAAGAGCAUGCUUGUUUGAGUAUCAGUAAACACCUCAAAGCUUUUGGAUUUUUUAAUCGAAAAGCUUUGGACUUGAGCAAUCCCAACACCAAUCUUUUUGAGAUCGGUGGCGGGUUGCUUGAAAUGCAGGUGCAGCUGGACAUUCUCCUGAGCUAAAAGCAUAUUCAUUUAGUCCCGUCAAACGGAUUAUUACUUUUGCUGCAGCUAACAUAAAGGGAGUUUGACCGUAUUGGCUGACUGAUGCAGGAUUUCACAAGGGUCGGCAACGAUCCUUGUUAAACUCGAUCUCAAAUCAAGUAAGACUACCCGCUGAACUUAAGCAUAUCAAUAAGCGGAGGA